RNAcentral lists this ribosomal RNA (460 nucleotides) under uncultured bacterium. Its description in RNAcentral is "partial 16S ribosomal RNA". It matches the Rfam family "Bacterial small subunit ribosomal RNA", at positions 338 to 795 of the family's 1533-position model. The record is from RNAcentral.
CCUACGGGAGGCAGCAGUGAGGAAUAUUCGUCAAUGGACGAGAGUCUGAACCAGCCAAGUAGCGUGAAGGAUGACUGCCCUAUGGGUUGUAAACUUCUUUUAUAUGGGAAUAAGAGGUUCCGCGUGUGGGAUUUUGUAUGUACCAUAUGAAUAAGGAUAGGCUACCUCCGUGCCAGCAGCCGCGGUAAUACGGAGGAUCCGAGUGUUAUCCGGAUUUGUUGGGUUUAAAGGGAGCGUAGGUGGAUUGUUAAGUCAGUUGUGAAAGUUUGCGGCUCAAACGUAAAAUUGCAGUUGAAACUGGCAGGCUUGAGGACAGUAGAGGUGGGCGGAAUUCGUGGUGUAGCGGUGAAAUGCGUAGAUAUCACGAAGAACUCCGAUUGCGAAGGCAGCUCACUGGACUGCAACUGACACUGAGGCUCGAAAGUGUGGGUAUCAAACAGGAUUAGAUACCCGAGUAGUC